AAUCCACAGCUCUUUAUAUUUCUUUUGUGAAGCAAGUUACAUAUUGUGUUUAAUACCUGAGAAAAUGAACCACGUGAAAUCAAGAGUAACAUGUGACAACAAAGCCAAGAUUACAUCCUUGUGUUCAUGAAAGACCCACGCAGUAGAUUCCCCUUUGAUGCAAAUGCUCUUUCGUCACCGCCGCAAAAGAUAUAUAAACGCCGGAGUGACAGAGGGCAGACAGGUUUGUGAGAGAGGACUCCGCAGGUUAGACAGAAGAGAUCACCUCCUUUGUUGCUCUCUGAGUUCAAGGAAUUUGCUCCGGUUAAUUAGCCUCACCAUGAACUUCCCUUCUCUUUUGUUUAUUCUUGGUCUGAUGGGGAUGGUGUGCAGCGAAAGUGUAUGUGGCCCUGACUGCAAAAGUACCACUAACUAUUGCCAGCCAGACUUCAAACAUGUGUCGGAACUCCGGCACUCUUCAAUUGCACCCUGGAAUUUUGAUGAGGAUAAGAUAAACGGCCGGGAGCCCGCAAUAAUCCAGUAUGCUCAUUGCAAUAGUUGUAAUGUGAAGGACAUGAUCGCUAAACCUAUCAUCCUCCAGGUUUCGGUCUACCGCCACGUGCGCGUAAACGACACCAGUUACACGUGGUGCAAGUGUCCCUUCAAUUUGGCUGUUGGGUGUACAUGUGUCAGCAAUAAAUGAAAAUGACCACAGGACAUCAGGACAAGUCAUGGCUGCAGCUGCA
Long non-coding RNA from Gasterosteus aculeatus aculeatus (three-spined stickleback), 725 nucleotides. NCBI's taxonomy places the organism in Eukaryota, Metazoa, Chordata, Actinopteri, Perciformes, Gasterosteidae. The record is from Ensembl.